GAUGAACGCUGGCGGCGUGCCUAAUACAUGCAAGUCGAGCGAACAGACGAGGAGCUUUCUCCUCUUACGUUAGCGGCGGACGGGUGAGUAACACGUGGAUAACCUACCUAUAAGACUGGGAUAACUUCGGGAAACCGGAUCUAAUACCGGAUAAUAUAUUGAACCGCAUGGUUCAAUAGUGAAAGACGGUUUUGCUGUCCCUUAUAGAUGGAUCCGCGCCGCAUUAGCUAGUUGGUAAGGUAACGGCUUACCAAGGCAACGAUGCGUAGCCGACCUGAGAGGGUGAUCGGCCACACUGGAACUGAGACACGGUCCAGACUCCUACGGGAGGCAGCAGUAGGGAAUCUUCCGCAAUGGGCGAAAGCCUGACGGAGCAACGCCGCGUGAGUGAUGAAGGUCUUCGGAUCGUAAAACUCUGUUAUUAGGGAAGAACAAAUGUGUAAGUAACUAUGCACGUCUUGACGGUACCUAAUCAGAAAGCCACGGCUAACUACGUG
This 497-nucleotide ribosomal RNA is filed under the name uncultured bacterium. RNAcentral's name for it is "partial 16S ribosomal RNA". It matches the Rfam family "Bacterial small subunit ribosomal RNA", at positions 28 to 507 of the family's 1533-position model. The record is from RNAcentral.